Molecule: transfer RNA, 50 nt
Filed under: Gyraulus sp. GE1
Lineage: Eukaryota; Metazoa; Mollusca; Gastropoda; Planorbidae
Description: tRNA-Glu
Source: RNAcentral
GAAGUGUUUCACAUUAUUUUUUCAUAAUAAAAAAGUAUUUUUAAAUACCU